GCUGACGUAGCUCAGUUGGUAAAGCAUGAGAUUUAUAAUCCCAGGGUUGUGGGUUCAAGCUCCACGUUGGGUG
Non-coding RNA from Podarcis lilfordi (Lilford's wall lizard), 73 nucleotides. The record is from the annotation of a GenBank genome assembly. Lineage: Eukaryota; Metazoa; Chordata; Lepidosauria; Squamata; Lacertidae.